This 376-nucleotide ribosomal RNA is filed under the name uncultured bacterium. RNAcentral describes it as "bacterial SSU rRNA". It matches the Rfam family "Bacterial small subunit ribosomal RNA", at positions 524 to 898 of the family's 1533-position model. The record is from RNAcentral.
GACGUAGGGUCCAAGCGUUGUCCGGAUUUACUGGGCGUAAAGAGCGCGUAGGCGGUCCGUUAAGUGUAGAGUGAAAGCUCCGGGCUCAACCCGGAAAUUGCUCUGCAUACUGGCGGACUUGAGGAUGGAAGAGGUUUGUGGAAUUCCUGGUGUAGCGGUGAAAUGCGUAGAUAUCAGGAGGAACACCCAUGGCGAAGGCAGCAAACUGGUCCAUAUCUGACGCUGAGGCGCGAAAGCGUGGGUAGCAAACAGGAUUAGAUACCCUGGUAGUCCACGCCCUAAACGAUGGAUACUAGGCGUAAGAGGUAUCGACCCCUCUUGUGCCGCAGCUAACGCACUAAGUAUCCCGCCUGGGGAGUACGGCCGCAAGGUUGAA